This 74-nucleotide transfer RNA is filed under the name Nitrososphaeria archaeon. Its description in RNAcentral is "tRNA-Ile". It matches the Rfam family "tRNA". Rfam says of the family: Transfer RNA (tRNA) molecules are approximately 80 nucleotides in length. Their secondary structure includes four short double-helical elements and three loops (D, anti-codon, and T loops). Further hydrogen bonds mediate the characteristic L-shaped molecular structure. tRNAs have two regions of fundamental functional importance: the anti-codon, which is responsible for specific mRNA codon recognition, and the 3' end, to which the tRNAs corresponding amino acid is attached (by aminoacyl-tRNA synthetases). tRNAs cope with the degeneracy of the genetic code in two manners: having more than one tRNA (with a specific anti-codon) for a particular amino acid; and 'wobble' base-pairing, i.e. permitting non-standard base-pairing at the 3rd anti-codon position. RNAcentral also lists the same sequence under 2 other names. The record is from RNAcentral. Lineage: Archaea; Thermoproteati; Nitrososphaerota; Nitrososphaeria.
GGGCCCGUAGCUCAGCUUGGCAGAGCGUUCGGCUGAUAACCGAAAGGCCGUGGGUUCGAAUCCCACCGGGCCCA